Drosophila virilis is the source of this 2708-nucleotide non-coding RNA. NCBI's taxonomy places the organism in Eukaryota, Metazoa, Arthropoda, Insecta, Diptera, Drosophilidae. The record is from RefSeq and is a predicted model, not a curated record.
CUGCGACCUUAUCGAAAUGCAUUUACUAAAGCCAUUGAAGCGCCGCCUGCUGGCACGCAACUCCACAGUUUAAUAAAGUGCAAAUGUACAUGAAAAAAAGGCGACAGUAUAUCUUUAAACACGAGUCAAGAUGCAGUCGCUGGAAUUUGUUUUUCUGCUGCUGCUGCUCACGUUCCCGUCUGGCUGGGCCAACGUGACGUAUGCGCGAUUUAAUUUAACGCUCUACAAGCAAAUGCCGCCCUUGCACCAGCUGGAUGACUACGAUCUGUGCCUGGGGCACAGCACCUACUGCCUGGUCUACGCGGAGCUGGUGCCCAAUGCCAGCUCCACGCUCUGGCAGCAGAUCGAGCAGCUGUCCCGGGACGAGAAACAUCGCUUUAGGCACGAUCAUCUGUUUGUUGGCGUCUGCCUGGAGCGCUGUCAGCGCGAACUUCACAGCCUCAGCAGGUUUCAGCUACAGCAGCUGUACGAGGGUCGCGUCACGGACACGGAGCUGAGCAGCUACUAUGCCCGGGUGCACAAAAGGCCUUCCGAUGAGCGCCUGCGCUACGAUCAUCUGGUCAACAGCUGCCUCAACAAGGAGUUUGCACGCAAAUAUCAAUUGCGACUGCGCAGCAGCAUCGAGUACUGCGAACGGGCAGAUGAGCCGCUGGAACAUGAUGCACUGGACCUGACCGUAUAUGUGCUGCUCGCUCUGCUCCUGCUGUGCACUGUGUUCUCCUCCUUCUACGACUUUCGCCUGAAGCGGCAGCAGACGCUGCCUGCCAGGGCGCAUGGCAAUCUGUUUUAUCGGCAGCCUCUAAGGACACGUGCUGAAAAAUAUUUGUGCGCCUUUUCGCUGUGCCGCAACUAUUAUCGUCUCGUGCUGCCCUCGAGCAGCGUUUGCGGCAAGGAUUUGCGUUUCUUCGAUGCAUUCCGUGUGAUUGGAGUCUUUGUUGUCGUACUCGGGCACACGCUGAUGAUCUUUAUGUCCGUGCAGCUGCAGAAUCCCGAGUUCUUUGAGCAGUUCCUUUACAGAUUCGAGACCUCGAUAUUCCAGAAUGGCAACGUCUUCAUCCAGAUCUUUUUCGUGAUGAGCUCCUUUCUGCUCUACGUGAACUUUACGGAGCGCAAGUGGAUCAGCAACAGCUCGAGCACUUUCGACUGCAUCCGGGUUUACUUCACUGUGUUCCUCAGCAGAUAUUUGAGGAUGUUGCCAUCGCUGGCCCUGAUCAUUCUGUUCAAUAGCAGCAUCCUGAGCAGACUGGGCGAUGGACCCUUCUGGCGGCAUCUGACCGAGCCCGAAAGGAUAUUCUGCCGCGAGACCUGGUGGAAGAACAUAAUAUUCAUCAACAACUAUAUGCUGCAGGAGAGUUGUGCCCAACAGACCUGGUAUAUGGCCGCCGAUAUGCAGCUCUUUGAGCUCUUUCUGAUUGUCAUCAUCCUGACAAAAAAGUAUCCCGGACUGACUCGAUUUAUCUAUAUUUUGCUGAUUAUCUCGAUAUUUGCCGUGCCCGCACUCUUGACCUAUUACCUCAAGCUGGACGCCGUCUACCACAUGAGACCGGAAACCUAUCGAUAUUUGUACUUUCGUGAUGCGGAGACCUUUUACCAGAUAUAUCCGCCCUUCUAUACCAAUCUGGGCGGCUACUUUAUGGGCUUUAUCUGCGGCCAUCUUUAUCUCAAGCAGCGCUCCAGGCCGGAUUCGGGGAGCUUUAAGGUCAAAUGGCAGCUGGAGCUGGGCAUGUGGCUGCUGGUGCCGGCAGCUCUACUGAUACUGUGCUCGGGCUAUAUAUUCAUCAGGCACGACUUUGAGAAGCCCUCCGUCUGGCUGGCUCUCUAUGCCGGCAUCUACAAGAACCUGUGGAUUCUGAUUUGCGCGGCUUUUGUUAGCUGCAUGUGCUAUAAAGUGGGCUGGCUGGCCUACGAAUUUUGCUCGCUUCCCAUUUUCCGGCCUUUGGCGCGCAUUUCCUUUCAGGCUUUUCUCUGGCAUGUCUUUGUGCUGCGCCUGGUUGCAGGCUACUUUCGGCAGCCCAUCUAUGUGAACAGCUUCUAUUUGUUUGGAAAUGUUCUUUUGGUUUUUGUGCUUACGCAAUUGAUUGCAUUCUUUGCGGCGCUCUUAUUUGAAUAUCCGCUGGCAGAGCUCUUAAAAUUGCUGACAGUACAUGAGAAAACGGCUGUUGAGCAAAAAGAGACUACAAACAAUUUAAAUGUAUUUCAAAUUGAGUUUAAUUCCCGUUAAUAUGUUAACAUUCAAACUGAGUUAACAAAAAAUUCUAGUAUUAAGUCGUUAGGGUGACCAACAGUAAGAUAAGGCAUGCCAACCAUUUAGGUUUUGGUAUUUCUUGCGACAAGUUGACAGAGCAGCUGUUGUGUUAUUAUUUCACUAUGCUGAGUUCGGUCACACUGCUUGGUUGUUCAGUUUUGUUUUCUCUCGUCUCGCUCGUCGGCGUUUUGCUACGUUUCGUCUUCUCGUAACCGCAAAUUCUGAAACAGUUCACAACAAUAUAGUGCAAAUUUUCAAAAAUUUCCCAUACUCAAUAAAAAUCAAGUGCACAUGCCCCAGCGUAAAUGCUAAAAUAAAGUAAACCGCACAACGACAAUUAAAUUCAAGAGACCUGCAACGAAUCAUUUUCCCCCGACAACGCCGACCCAGCUCAACUGAACCCGGGCCAAGCUCAUUGUGGAGCAGAGAUACUUAGAACGGGGCCAACGACUCAGCCAAAAAA